CUUUGAAACACUGGUAGGGAUUGUAUUUGGCUUAGAGAAACUAUACUUGGCUUUGAGUAAGUCAGAUUAUGGCACAGAAAAUUGAUUGAAUAUGUCUCUAGUUUUUGGGUUUUUUUUUUUAAUGUGUCUAGUUACAAAAUAUAAAUCUGGGUUGUAUCUUGUACUUGAGAAAUAAGUUAAACAUAACUAGUCUAUUUUUGCAGCAUUUCCUUAGGCAAGUACAUUGAUUUCCCCAUCAUUUUCUAAAUGUUGACUCUCUUUCAAUUCUUUAUAGUUGCAAUCAUGAGGUUGGUAGCUUUGGCAUUGCACUGCUUGCCUUUCUGGAAGGACUUGUGCUAUGUGUGUUGUCAUGGAAAUAAACAUUAUGAGAUGGAAAAGGUUUUCUUACAAGACAAAAGAAGAAGAAUCCUAUAGAGCCCUACCAGUCAAAAAUUAAGUACUCAUGUUGUUAUUUGUAUGUACUUCAGAAAGCUUUAAGUCCAUAGAUAUGCUUAAAUUUUUUUCCCACUUAUUACAGGGUUUUUUCUUCUUUUCCACUUCCAAAACAUAUAACUUUUUUUUUUUAAAAAAAUGUUUAUUUUUGAGAAAGAGAGAGUGAGAAUGAGCUGGGGAGGGGCAGAGAGAGGGAAGGAUAGAGGGUCUGAAGCAAGCUCUGCACUUACAGCAGCGAGCCAGAUGCGGGACUCGAACUCACGAACCGUGAAAUCAUGACCUGAGCCGAAGUCAGACGCUCAACUGACUGAGCCACCCAGGCGCCCCAAAAUAUGUAGCUUUUAAGAGCGUUUGUGAUGGUACUUCAAUGUAUUAACACUAUUGUAAGUAUUUAAUAAAUAACAUAAUUUCUUAUUCAGAAAAUCAUUUAGCUAUACAAUAUUGGCUAAUACUAUAAUCACUGUUUUCUGUAGGAAACUGUGGCCUUAUUUCAUAAAGCCAAUGAAAAUAAAAAGCUUUGUUGUGUUUUCUUUUACAGUAGUUAGUAUCGUCUAGAUGUGCUGAAAUUUUUCCUUUUGCUGUUUUCAUUAGUGCUUGAAGCUUGCUGGAAUACCAUCUCAGUGCUGUCUUUUUGUAUGUACACACAACUCCCUGUUUAUUCUUAUGUUCCCUGAUGUUGGCAAGAAAUUACUGGAUUUCUUUUUUUACUUUUAUUGUUAAAUGUGUCCAUGGAGGCAGACAUUCUAUAGAACUGAGGAAAGGAAAGGCAUUUAGUUGAUGGUGACAUACUCCAUACACUAGUAGUAUUCUAUCAUUUAAUAUUAGACAUUUGGAAUCUCUGAUUCUCCUUAUUGAACAAAUGUUAUCAGAUUAUAUGUAUCUAAGCCUUUUACUAGUGGAUUGCUUUUUUUCUUUUUGAAACAGUUUUAAUAUAUGUGGCAAAAAGCAAGGGCUUUUAACUUACGAUGAAAUUUAUCAAAAUUGGUGAUUUCUUUUUGAAAACAUGAAUUAUGUUUUGAAGAAGCAUAGUGCAAGUAAGCUGUAAAUAGAAAAGUUAGGAUCAUUUGAAGGUCUUUUAGGGACACAGUCAAUUUCUUUUGGUCAAAUGCAAAAGGGAAAAAGACACAAACGUACUUUUCAAAAUGAAUAUUUAGUUAAUUUUAGCUUCUGUUACAUCCUUUCAUGGGAAUACUCACCAUCUCCAUUCGGGCAAUUGGAACUCAGGAAUAUAAUAGUCAUGAAGGGAGCAAAAAAAACCUUGCUUAACAGAAAAAUUGUGCAUAUCAUUGAUUAGUAGCAAUAAUUAUUUUCUAUAAUACUUUCAGUUAAGUAUCUUUUCACUCAGAGUGUGCAAUAAGAUAAUGUCAUUAAAAUUUUAAAUGGGCAUCAUUUUACCAAUGAGGUAAGAGAGUCUGAAAGAAGUCAAAGGAAUUGUUCAGAGUCCCAUAGUGAUUUGGACCUAGUUAUUUUGACUAAAUAGUGUAUUUUCUUGUUAUCACAAGAUAGUAUCAAUGACUAUAUUUAAGGAAGACUAAUUCUCUAUGGGAUAGUGCAGAAAGGAGUAUUGUUUGCAUUGGGAGGAUAAACCAGGUGAUUAGCAACUUCUAAGGACUGUUUCAAGUAGCAUUUUCUUUGUUUCUAAACUUCAUUUUCAAAAUUUAUCUAAGAUUCUAGUUAAAUGACCCUUUAUCAUACCCUCCCUCUGUUGUGUGCUACAUUUUAGCAAUAAAGAAAAGCUUAUUUAUUCAUUAUGGACAGAGCUUUGGAGAGAGCUGAUGUAUUCUUUUUUUUUUUUUUCAAGGAAGACUCAGAUAUAUUUAUGAGAUCUGAUUAGAUCACAGAUUGAAUGAUGUGCAUCUCAGUUAUAAGUGGAUAUAAAUUCUAUCUUUUAUUUGAAGUCUAAAGAAGAUAGGGGUGAGAAAGGAAAUUACUGUUUCUACAACCAUCCCAAAUUUCAUUGUAGGCUUUACGUUACAGUAAUAAAUCGAGAUAACUAGAUUUGCUUAGCUAAGAUGGAUAGAUUUAUUGGUUCCAUUUUAAAAUUUUUAUAUGAAUAAGUAAACUGCUACCAGUUGCAUAUGUUUCAUCUCUUCUAAUAAUGUUUUACUGCCAUCUGCUCCCCUGCAUUUCGACAUCAUUAAGCUAAACAGUCCACUUGCCAUAAAGGCCUGACUGGAGCUGUCCAUUGUCAAAGCUGCUGUGUGAAGCAUGUAAAAUAUGCUUUGUCUUUUUAUAUAACGUGUAGAUUUUGGUUUAGAAUCGCGAUUCUCAGGAAAAAAUAAAAGUAACAACCAUUAACUGCCUUUUUCCCCCCAUAAACUGGAAUUUAUUUCUGUGUUGGAAGCUUUCCUGUGCUGACGCAAGAGCACAGUUGUGAAAGCUCUUCUUUCUACCCAUUUUUCCUUCAUCCUGAGAUUAAAAUAUUAAAUCUUUUCUAAGGGAAGACACCUGGACUUAUUCAUAUAUGAUUUUCAUUAAGAAUUAUUCCUCGGUUAAGCGUAGGACUUCGGCUCGGGUCAUGAUCUCACAGUUUGUGGGUUCGAGCCCCGCGUCGGGCUCUGUGCUAACAGCUCGGAGCCUGGAGCCUUCUUUGGAUUCUGUGUCUCCCUCGUUCUCUGCCCCUCCCCCACUCAUGCUGUCUGUCUGUCUCUCUCUCUUUCAAAAAUAAAUAAACAUUAAAAAAAAUUUUUAAGAAGAAUUAUUAUUCCUCAUUAAUUGAUGCAUGCAGUUUAAACCAGAGGUUGGCAAACUAUGACCUUGGUCACCUCUGGCCUACCACCUGUUUUUAUAAUAAAGUUUUAUUGGAGCACUGCCAGGCUCAUUUGUUUACAUUUGUUACAUGAUGUCUGUGGCUCCUUCCCUGCUGCAAUGGCAUAAUUGAGUAGCUGCCAAAUAAACCUUACAUCCCACAAAACCUAAAAUAUUUACUCUCUGGCCAGUUACAGAAAAAAAUUGCCAAACCUAGGGUUAAACCAUAGGAAUAAGAAAAAUUAUGCUUGAUGAUUCUGUACAAUAGAUGCAAACUUUUCUCAGAGUCGUGAGCACCCUUGACAACUCUAAUCCGAAGGCACUCUGUUGCCUGUUUGUGAACAUCACCUGAGAGAAGAUAAAACUCUUUGGGGCAAGCAUCUUAUUCUUGGGUGUAUCUUCCAUACCCAAAGAGUUCCUAGAUCUAAAACAUUGUGUGUGGUCUCUUAGUAGUUUUUGAAUGAGUUGAUACCUUAUUUUUUAAAACAGGUUAAGAUCUGGGGCGCCUGGGUGGCUCAGUCGGUUGGGCGUCCGACUUCAGCUCAGGUCACGAUCUCGCGAUCUCGCGGUCCAUGAGUUCGAGCCCCGCGUUGGGCUCUGGGCUGAUGGCUCAGAGCCUGGAGCCUGCUUCCGAUUCUGUGUCUCCCUCUCUCUGCUCCUCCCCCGUUCAUGCUCUGUCUCUCUGUCUCAAAAAUAAAUAAAUGUUAAAAAAAAAAAAUUAAAAAAAACAGGUAAGAUCUUAUGUCAGAGUGUAAUUGAUAUUUGUGAAGCAUUUCUUACACAUUCAAGAAAAUUAAGUAAACAUUUUACUUACACCAUCACAUUCAAGCCUGUCACAUUUUGAGGUAGUUGCUGUUUUACAGGUGAGGAAACUUAACACAUUUCUGUGUUUAUGGAGCUAGAAAUUAGCAGAACAAGGAGCCCGAGUAUAUCUUAACAUUAUGCCAGAUGUAUGGCUUCCUCCAGCAUAAAAUAGCUUUUAAAAGCUUUUAAAAGAUGUGAAAUUCAAACAUAACUUUGGAUAAUGAUAAUACAGUUUCACUUAUUUCAGAGAUUUAAUGGCUUUAAUUGAGAGAGCUGUCUUAGAGAAUUAGUAGUAGUAAAAGAAAUGUAAGAAGUAUCCCAAGUUUUCAAUUUUCCAGUAACUUGUAUUCAUCAUGAGAGACAUUGUUGAUAUUUGACAUGAGGAAUGCUCGUUAACUUUUAGUCCCCUUUCUGCUUCAGGUUUUGUUUUUGUUGUUGUUGUUGUUGUUGUUUGUUUUUUUGUGGGGUUUUUUGCCUACAUUAGAAGAAUUCUAUUUAUAUGAGCAACUCAAACCUGAGCUACCUUUCUCCUUUAUUUCUGACUGAGACUAGGCUACUUUCUCACUUGUAUAAAUAGGUGACAGUUGGUGGGAAAAUGGUAAAAGCCAAGCCUGUUUGGGUUUCAUGUUACUUUGGAAAUAAGAUAUGUCAAAACUCUGGGUAUAAUAUAAGUAAUUUUUAAAUAUAUGUCCUUUAUAGUUUUCUCAUUCAAAUAUAAGCAAAAUUUUAAAAAUUUAAUAUUUGAAAUAAAUUCUUAGCUUAGAUUCUGUAUGAGUUCACCUCAUGCAGAGGUGAUCCUCUUGAGUAUUUCUGAGGUUGUGAAUGAUACCUCAGAUUUGUUUUUUGUUUUUGUUUUUGUCUUUAAUAAUUUAUCUGAGUUUUUCUUUUCUGUUUCUUUUUAUUCUCCUCCCCCUCCCUCCCACUCCCCUGCCUCUUUUUUACUGUGAAACACAUUGACCACCCACAGUUAGAGCAGAUUUAGCUUCCCAUUGUAAAAUUAAAAAUUUUAACAGUGAUACUGAAAUUAUUUAGAAAAUUCUCUGUAUGACCGAUAAAUGAAAUGUUGAUUUUUAAUUGAAUGGUGGCAAACCAGAUAUUUUAAGAUCUCAUAUCUUUAUCUGUGAGGUACACACUGGGUUUCUUUUACUUGUCACUCUGAACAAAUGGAAGUUUUCUGUGUAAGGUCAGCUAGUUGGGAGAAAAAGGCAAGUUGAAUAUAUCCCAAAUUUUAAUGAUGUGUGAUGCAACAAAUUAAGAAAGAAGAGAACUGAACCUAAUCCAGUCCCCACACUCACUUUAAUUAAGACACUCUAGAUCCAGUUUAAUCUGGGUUCUUAGAGUUGAAAGGCCUGUUGCUAAUGGAAGAAACUAACCUCCUGAAGUUGCGGAAAUAUUUGAUACUUGGCCUUGGGCGCACCUGUUCCAAUUCUUUAUGGCAGCAUAAAGAAUACAUACCAGCAUUCUCCACUGCUUAGAGAAACGAUAAUAGUUUAAUCUGUCAACUUUGCUUUUAAUCAUUGAAUAAAAAAACCCUUGAUUCCGUUUAAUAAAAUUUGCACAGGCCUCUCUAAAAUGUACUUUGCUCUGAUCCUAGAUCUUGGCUUAAUUUUAAACCUUUUCUAUUUCUACUGGAUAUGAUUUCAUGCCUGGGUAAUGAAGAGUAGUAGUAGACUGUUGCUUAUACUUCCAACAUAAGGAGCUUGACAGAUGAAAUGCACGGAUUCUCUGCUUCUCUUGGCCGCCAUCUGUUUGAGAUGGAUGGGGGAGGGGCAGAGAAGAAAGCACUUGCUGUGCACGGUCAUAUGCAAGCGUGUUGCCAUCAUUGCUACCCGAUUUAGUAUGUGUAAAAUUUCUACCAUACCUUUGUGAACAAAUUCUCGGAGAUGUUGAAUUACAAUACUUUAUCUCCCCAGGAGUGUCAGAAUGUCACUUUGAUGUGGCCCAGUUAUUUAUAUGAGUACAGCAUUAGCCUCAGUGUUUAUAACUGGAAUACCCUUUGCAUUCGAGCCAGUUGUUUUUCACACCAUAAAACCUCACAUAUGACUUCUGUGUCUUUGGGGCUGUAAACAUUUGUCUUUUUUCUUUGGGGAGGGAACAUUAGUAUUCUUGAUAGCAGCCUUAUUUCAAACUCAAUAACAAUGAAAUAUUACAAGAUUUAAAAAAUAUUUUUUUCUGGUUAUUCCUAGAUUUAUUGCCAUGACAUUCUCUGCUGCUUUAUCUUAAUUCAAAUGUAGUAGGUGAAAUAUUCACACCAAUUUAGAGUUCGUACAACAAAAAAUGAAUUUAACAUUCAGUUGCUUCAAGCCUGUUUCUCUUUAGCAAAUGUACUAGAUCUAUAAUUUUAUUUUUCCUUUCUGAAGCAGUUAAAUAAAUCUUCUUCAAUGUUUCUCAGAACAUGAAGAAUCUAGCCUUUUAUUUCAAGAUUUUCUAGGUUUUAUUUCAAGAACUUUGCGGCCACUAAUUACAAUGGCUGAAAAGCAUGGGCAGCUAGGUUUAGGGAAAAUAAGUUAGAUCUCUGUUGGAAACUCAUUUUUUAUAGAAUACAUGAAUAGCUUAAAAGUGGUAAUCUAAGCUGUUAGGCAUACUGGGGCAAAUAAAAAACAAUGCUUUCGUACAUUAUUCCUAAAUUUAUUCUGGCAGGCUCAUUAAGGAAAUUAAAGUAGCAGAAGUUAAUCAUCUCAGUUAUCACUAUCCCCUCCUUCUAAAGUGCUCCAGAAAUGAGAACGUCCAGGUUUAGACCACAUUUGAGGAGAUCUGCCUUCAUAUUUUUCAUAGGUCAAGGCAGUAACUGGCAAAGAAUUUGACACUGUAGGCACAUAAUAAAUAUUUGAUGAAUGAAUCUAUAGGGUACAUAGGUUUUGGAGUCAGACAAAAAUGGUUUUAGAUCCCAAAUGGUCCACUUUCCUCAUUUGGCUUGUGUGAUGCAGUCUCCUGGUUUUUCGCCUACCUUCCGCUGUGUUCCCAGAGUACAUAUGUUAUUUGCCUUACCCUUAGGAGCUCUUCUGUUUUCACGCUCACUUUCCCUGAACAAUCUCAUUAACUCCCACAGCCUCAAAUAUCAUCAAUAUGCUAAUGACUCUUGAAUCAAUUCUUCUAGCUCAGAUCUUUUUCCUGAGUUCAUAUAUUCAAUAGACUGUCAGUACUGAGAUGAAACACAGGCACCUCCAGCUAAAAAAAAAAAAAAAAAGAAAGAAAGAAAAAAGAAAAAGCUAUGAGCUCCUUGAGGCCUAGGAUUAUUCAUGUUUUGUCCCCUCCUGUGUACCCAUGCAUAACACAGUGCCUGCCACGUUCUCAGUAUACACUUGACUAAAUGAAGAUCUAUAAUUACAUUCAUUAUCUUUCCAUCAUUCUAGCACUUAUCCCACUAUAACAAUUGACUGUUUACUGGUCUGUAACCUUCUUUAAACUUCAUGAGGGCAGAAAUUAUGUCUGUCUCACUCAUGUUGGUAAAGCCUAGCAAAUUACUUGGUACGUAGUAGUUGUUAAAAAAACAUUUCCCUCCUUUUAUUGCCCUAUAUGUCCUUAGGUAAGCCACUUAUCCUUUCUGACCUUUAUAUUCUUGGCCUGUUAAAAAGUAAUACCAAGGGGCGCCUGGGUGGCUCAGUCGGUUAAGUGUCCAAUUUUGGCUCAGGUCAUGAUCUCAGGGUUCAUGAGUUCGAGCCCCACAUCAGGCUCUGUGCUGACAGCUCGGAUCCUGGAGCCUGCUUUGGAUUCUGUGUCUCCCUCUCUCUCUGUCUUCCCCUGCUUGCACUCUGUCUCUGUCUCUCAAAAAUGAAUAAACGUUAAAAAAUGUUUUUUAAUGUAAUAAUAAUACCUCAUAAUGUAAAAAUGAAAUCAUUCAGUUUAGUAUGUGUAAAAUCUUUAAGUUUUUACUAUAGAAAGAAAAGUUCAGUACACACACACACACACACACAUAUAUAUAUGUAUAUAUAUGUAUAUAACUAGAGAUGUGGUUUCUUCUACAUGUAUAUUGAAAGGGAUGAGACAAUGAAAGGGAUUAUAGAUUAAAAGCAAUUUAAAAGACAAACCAAAUAAGCAGACCUUAUUUGGAUCCUGGUUAAUACUGUGUUGGGGUGUGCGUUGUAGGCAAAAUAAUGCUCCCCACCUCCCACCCCCAAAUGUCGAAAGAUGACCAUGUCCUUAAUACCCAGAACCUAUGAAUCUGUUAUAUUGCGUAUCAUAGGUGAACUAGGGAUGCAGAAGGGCUUACAGUCACUAUCAGCUGACCUUCAAAUAGGGCUACUAUCCUGCAUUAUCCUGGGGAGCCCAGUGCAAUCACAAGGGUCUUUAAAACUGGAAGAGGAAAGCAGAAGAGAGGGGGAUAAACUAAUGCAAGGCUUGUUGCUGGCUUUGAGGUGGCAGAAGAGGGCCAUGAAGCCCUGGAUUUGGGCAGCCUCUAGACGCUUGAAAAGGCAAAAAAAUGAAUUUUCUCUAGAACCUCCAGAAGGAAACAUCCCUGACAACACUUUUUUUUUUUUAAUGUUUAUUUAUUUUUGAGAGACAGAGACAGAGAGUGGAUGUGUGGGGGCAGAGAGAGAAGGAGACACAGAAUCUGAAGGAGGCUCCAGGUUCUGAGCUGUCAGCACAGAGCCUGACGCAGGGCUUAAACUCACAGACCGCAGGAUCGUGACCUGAGCCGAAGUCAGGUGCUCAACCGACUGAGCCACCCAGGCGCCCCUGGAAACAGCCCUAACAACACUUUGAUUUGCUCAGUAACAUCCAUGUGGGAAAACUAUAAAGCAAUAUACUUGUGUUGUUUUUUAGCCAACAAGCUGUUAUAUAUAAUAAGCAAGAGACAACUAAUACAGGGAUUAACAGGAGAAAUUAAAAAUUGGUUAUUUGAUGAUAAAAUUUUUAUUUUAGGUGUGAUAAUUGAAUUAUGGUUAGGUUUUUAAAAAGAGUGUUCUUUUAGGGAUGAUAUUGAAAUAUUAUCAAUGACGUGAUAGAUGUUGCAUUUGCUUCAGAAUGGUUCAGAAAUGGCAGGGGAAUGAAUGGCAUAUAAAUGAAAUGUAUCAGUUACAGACUGAUAAAUUGUUAACGUUUGGUUCUUUUUCUUUAUUAAAUUUUACUGUUUUUUAAAGUAAUUGUUUCCUUAGCAUCCUCUAAAGAUGAUUAAUGCUAUUUUUUUUCUAAUUUCAGAAAUCAUUGUGAGCUCAUGGGGUUAAACAUAUUUGAAGUAUUGUAGUCCAUGGUUAUUAUCUUUAUUAAGGCUCAAACUGUCUCAUCUACUUCUUUGAAGUCCCUUUGAUACCACUCUGGUAGUCUUUGAUAGCUUCCUUCCUUGCUAAUAUGAGAAGAUAUUCUAGACUUCCCUUGUUUAUUUUCUGCCCCAAUUCUGUAAUUAGCAGUUUUUUUUUUUAAGGAGUCUGGUUCCUUUUAGCGGGAAGAUGAUAAUUUUGGUUACUGGAGUCAUUGAUUCUCUAAACAAAGAUAUAUUAAGCAAUAUGCCAGGGACUGUUCUAGAUGCUAGAGGUGUUUCAAUGAAUAAAAUAGUGUCCCUGGCCUUAAGGUCUGAAGAGACAGAAAAUAAGAAAACAAUAAAAAGAAUAUAAAAUAUGUUAAAUGGGGAUAAACACUAUGGAGAAAGAUAAACCAGUUAGUGAGUAUAGGGAAUGCUGGAUUGUGGGUAGCAGGUUGCCCCUUCAUAUAGGAUAGUGAGAGAGAGCCACAUUGAUAAAAUGGCCUUUGAGUAGAAAACCGGCAGGAAGUGAGGAGCAAGUCAUGCAAACAGCUGGAAAAUAUUUCCAGAAGGAGAGAAGAGAAAGUACAAAGGCCCUGAAUCAGAGAAGAAUGCUGGCCAUUUAGAGAAACCAUAAGGAAGCCAGCGUGCCUUGUACGUAAUGGGCAAAGGGAGAGUGGCAAUUCAGAGAGGGAGCAGGAAUCUGAUUCUGUAUGACCAUUGAUUAGAAGGGAGCUCAAAUUGGAGAGUUUUGAGCAAAGGAGUAGCAUGGUCUGGCUUAGUUUUUUUCUGGCCUCUGUAUUGUUAUCAAGAGUCGAAGCUACGUCUCCAUAACCAGUGACUACAGUUAAGCCAAGCAAGAGAUGUUGGUGGCUUGGACCAAGGAUAUACUAUGGAGGUGGUAAGAAAUCAUCAGGUUAUGUUUUUCUCAUACUUUGAUGAGCAGUUCAUCUCCUAACACCAAACUUGCUCUUCUAAUGAAUGAUAUUUUCAGCAAUUCAAAUCACAACAUCUAGUAAGAGUAACCUACCUUAGAAGACAUUAAAUACCUCUGUUGUUUAUUUUUUGAGAUUUUUUGAGUUUUAUUUAUUUUUUUUUUGAGAUAUCAUCCCCCUAGCCCCCACUGACUUAUGUUAAGUUUCCAAGUAAGGUUUGACAUAAUACAGUAUUUUUUCACCUAUCGCAUGUCAGUAAUAAGAAUAUUUUACUAUUAGUUGAAUAAUUUGACUUGAACCAAAAGAGUCAACUGAUGAGUUUCAUUCCUAUUUGAGUACAGUCUGGCCAGGUGUUUAAUGUAUACAUUAUAAUCUUCACUACUAUUUUUUAAAAAUGGAUUGGUGUAGGGACCCCUGGGUGGCUCAGCUCAGUUGAGCGUCGGACUUCGGCUCAGGUCAUGAUCUCGCAGUCCAUGGGUUAGAGCUCCACAUAGGGCUCGAUGUUGUCAGUGCAGAGCCUGCUUCAGAUCCUGUGUCCCCUUCUUGUCUCUGUACCUCCCCCACUUGUGCCCUCUGUCUCAAACGUAAAAAAAUAAAACAUUAAAAAAUGUAUUGGUUUAGAGUUAACAGCCUUUUUUGAGCAGGAG
Molecule: long non-coding RNA, 10745 nt
Organism: Acinonyx jubatus (cheetah)
Lineage: Eukaryota; Metazoa; Chordata; Mammalia; Carnivora; Felidae
Exons: 2
Source: RefSeq, a predicted model, not a curated record